GACAGAGGUGGCGAGCGUUGUUCGGAUUUAUUGGGCGUAAAGAGCGCGUAGGUGGUCUUGUAAGUUGGGGGUGAAAUCCCGGGGCUUAACCCCGGAACUGCCUCCAAUACUGCAAGACUUGAGUGCGGGAGAGGGUAGUGGAAUUCCCAGUGUAGAGGUGAAAUUCGUAGAUAUUGGGAAGAACACCAGUGGCGAAGGCAGCUACCUGGACCGCAACUGACACUGAGGCGCGAAAGCGUGGGGAGCAAACAGG
RNAcentral lists this ribosomal RNA (253 nucleotides) under uncultured bacterium. RNAcentral's name for it is "partial 16S ribosomal RNA". It matches the Rfam family "Bacterial small subunit ribosomal RNA", at positions 524 to 776 of the family's 1533-position model. The record is from RNAcentral.